CUCUGUGACUCCUACGGGAGGCAGCAGUGGGGAAUAUUGCACAAUGGGCGCAAGCCUGAUGCAGCCAUGCCGCGUGUGUGAAGAAGGCCUUCGGGUUGUAAAGCACUUUCAGUUGUGAGGAAGGUGGUGUCGUUAAUAGCGGCAUCAUUUGACGUUAGCAACAGAAGAAGCACCGGCUAACUCCGUGCCAGCAGCCGCGGUAAUACGGAGGGUGCGAGCGUUAAUCGGAAUUACUGGGCGUAAAGCGCAUGCAGGUGGUUUGUUAAGUCAGAUGUGAAAGCCCGGGGCUCAACCUCGGAAUUGCAUUUGAAACUGGCAGACUAGAGUACUGUAGAGGGGGUAGAAUUUCAGGUGUAGCGGUGAAAUGCGUAGAGAUCUGAAGGAAUACCGGUGGCGAAGGCGACUUACUGGACUGUAACUGACGCUGAUGCACGAAAGCGUGGGUAGCGAACAGGAUUAGAUACCCUGGUAG
Molecule: ribosomal RNA, 472 nt
Filed under: uncultured bacterium
Lineage: Bacteria
Description: bacterial SSU rRNA
Rfam family: Bacterial small subunit ribosomal RNA
Source: RNAcentral